RNAcentral lists this ribosomal RNA (517 nucleotides) under uncultured bacterium. RNAcentral's name for it is "bacterial SSU rRNA". It matches the Rfam family "Bacterial small subunit ribosomal RNA", at positions 26 to 518 of the family's 1533-position model. The record is from RNAcentral.
CGCUAGAACGAACGCUGGCGGCGUGCUAACACAUGCAAGUCGAACGCGAAAGGGACUUCGGUCCUGAGUAAAGUGGCGCACGGGUGAGUAACGCGUAGAUAACCUGUCUUCAUGUCUGGAAUAAUACGCCGAAAGGGGUACUAAUACCGGAUAUUCUUGCUUUUCAUAAGUUAUGCAAGCAAAGGUGGCCUCUGCAUAUGCUACUGCAUGAAGAGGGGUCUGCGUACCAUUAGCUAGUAGGUGGGGUAAUGGCCUACCUAGGCGACGAUGGUUAGCGGGUCUGAGAGGAUGAUCCGCCACACUGGCACUGGAACACGGGCCAGACUCCUACGGGAGGCAGCAGUGAGGAAUAUUGCGCAAUGGGGGAAACCCUGACGCAGCGACGCCGCGUGAGUGAGGAAAAGGCCUUCGGGUCGUAAAGCUCUGUCAAGAGGAAAGAAGUGUACAAUGGCUAAUACCUGUUGUAUUUGACGGUACCUCUAAAGGAAGCACCGGCUAACUCCGUGCCAGCAGCUGC